Molecule: long non-coding RNA, 615 nt
Organism: Galleria mellonella (greater wax moth)
Lineage: Eukaryota; Metazoa; Arthropoda; Insecta; Lepidoptera; Pyralidae
Exons: 3
Source: RefSeq, a predicted model, not a curated record
GUUGUAGAAAACAAACAUAAUGCUUUAGACAUUGAACACGUGUGGUACGUUUCAAAGGUUUUCCCCUUUGCCAAGCGCCUUCACAACUUAACCAAUCGCUAUGAAAUUUUGUAUACUCUAUGGAAUGGAGAAGUGUAUUAGCUACUUUUAUCGCGGUAAGCGAACAUAUCCCGGUCACGUGGACGAAGUCGCGGUAAAAACGAGUAACAUUAUAAAUGGGAAUUUAUAAAGAGAACCAACAAACAAAGUCAAAAACAACAAGAUGAAAAUGUCAAAUGUUUCGUAACAAAUCAGUCACUUUGCAUAAUUUAUGAAUAUCUCAAAAUAACUUCUUUCAGAAGUUAUAACUUUAAAAGUCCAACACAAAGCUAAAAGGUCAUUUAUUAUUUACGUCACAAGCCGGCGCGAGGGCUGUGCGAAGUGUGACCUGUGACAAAACGUGACAAACAAGGAUUCCUGACGUCACUUCGUCGCAAAUUUAGCCGAAACAAACGUCAUUAGAAGCUUGUCAACUUCACUUGUUACUGCAAUAUACUUGGAAUAAACUUUUGAACCAGUUCUCGUUAUUGGAAUUGGCUGACUUCUACAAAUAAAUAUCACUGAAUAAAUGUGAAA